AGAGAUGUAGCUCAGUGGUAGAGUGCUUGUCUAGCACGCAGGAGGUCCUUAGUUCCAUCUCCA
This 63-nucleotide transfer RNA is filed under the name Fukomys damarensis (Damara mole-rat). It matches the Rfam family "tRNA". Rfam says of the family: Transfer RNA (tRNA) molecules are approximately 80 nucleotides in length. Their secondary structure includes four short double-helical elements and three loops (D, anti-codon, and T loops). The record is from Rfam by way of RNAcentral. Lineage: Eukaryota; Metazoa; Chordata; Mammalia; Rodentia; Bathyergidae.